RNAcentral lists this transfer RNA (67 nucleotides) under Mycoplasma mycoides subsp. mycoides. RNAcentral's name for it is "tRNA-Und (NNN) (tRNA-Und-NNN-1-1)". It matches the Rfam family "transfer-messenger RNA", at positions 306 to 374 of the family's 374-position model. Rfam says of the family: Bacterial tmRNA, also known as 10Sa RNA or SsrA, is named for its dual tRNA and mRNA-like properties. RNAcentral also lists the same sequence under 2 other names. Lineage: Bacteria; Bacillati; Mycoplasmatota; Mollicutes; Mycoplasmatales; Mycoplasmataceae. The record is from RNAcentral.
AACUAAACUGUAGAAAGUAUGUAUUAGUGUAUCUUGGACGCGAGUUCGAUUCUCGCCAUCUCCACCA